CUUGGAUGUGUUGUCUCAAUGAGUGGCCCCUGGGUGUGAUGGCUCAGUGGGGGGCCCUGGGUUUGCUGGCUCAGUGAGUGUCACCCCCUCUGCAGCAGUGAGUGUGGCACACAGAGCUGGGCUGGAAGCCCCGGUUGCUGCAGGUGGAUGCUCCUCCCUGUCUCUGCUCCUCCUGCAGGAUGCUGCAUCCAGCCCUUUGUGCAUCAGCCUGCUCUCUGCAUCUCCCAGGAGGAGGGGGGGUGAUGGAGCGCAGGGCGAGCUCAGGGGGGACCUCACUAUAAUUCACUGCUGGCCGGCCUCUGUCUCCUGAGC
Non-coding RNA from Pelobates cultripes (western spadefoot toad), 312 nucleotides. The record is from the annotation of a GenBank genome assembly. NCBI's taxonomy places the organism in Eukaryota, Metazoa, Chordata, Amphibia, Anura, Pelobatidae.